This 22-nucleotide microRNA is filed under the name Saccoglossus kowalevskii. Its description in RNAcentral is "Sko-Mir-92-o12_5p* (star (passenger))". The record is from RNAcentral. Lineage: Eukaryota; Metazoa; Hemichordata; Enteropneusta; Harrimaniidae.
AGGUUAGGACUUUUGCAAUAUU